Molecule: ribosomal RNA, 347 nt
Filed under: uncultured marine eukaryote
Lineage: Eukaryota
Description: SSU rRNA
Rfam family: Eukaryotic small subunit ribosomal RNA
Source: RNAcentral
GUUGCAGUUAAAAAGCUCGUAGUUGGAUUUCUGGUGGGCGCAUCCGGUCCGCUCCGCAAGGAGUGUGCACUGGUGAUGUCGCCGGCCACUUUUACAGCGAACGAUUCUGGCAUUAAGUUGUCGGGGUCGGGAGCUGUAUCAUUUACUGUGAAAAAAUUAGAGUGUUUAAAGCAUGCAUUUGCUGUGAAUACAUUAGCAUGGAAUAAUAAGAUAGGACUUUGGUGCUAUUUUGUUGGUUUGCACGCCAAGGUAAUGAUUAACAGGGACAGUUGGGGGUAUUCGUAUUUUGAUGUCAGAGGUGAAAUUCUUGGAUUUUCGAAAGACGAACUUCUGCGAAAGCAUUUACC